Molecule: long non-coding RNA, 469 nt
Organism: Equus quagga
Lineage: Eukaryota; Metazoa; Chordata; Mammalia; Perissodactyla; Equidae
Exons: 3
Source: RefSeq, a predicted model, not a curated record
CCUUCUACUGUUAAUUUUUGAGAUGUGGCACACCAGCCUGUGCAUAUACAUGCAAAUGUUCGUGGAAGGAUGUGACCAGGAGCAGAGAUUUUUACAAGAAGCUGAGAGGGUCAAAGUGAUGCUUGUAGAAGGACAAUGUAGAUCUCCAUUGAUGAUGACUUGAAGGGGGUGAUGGGUCCCUCGAAACGUGGAGGAAACAGACCUGCCAACUUCUUUUCCAUUGGAGGAAACUGAGGCAGAGGAACUAAUAUCUCCCCCUAUGACGUGGAUGAAGUUAGCAUGAGCCGUGACAAUCUAAGUGGUGCCGAUCUGGCUUUUCCGAUGGUCCUGCCCUGCAAGAAGGCCCCUUGAGCUGGCGUCUCAAUGAUAACUCAUGGAGGAAUGCAGAGAUGUGAGAACAGGCUCAUAGCCCGUCAGACUGUAUUAAGCUAAGCAAUACAGGUGUCCACUUGCCAGCACAGUCGCCGUC